This is a long non-coding RNA of Ficedula albicollis (Collared flycatcher), 1009 nucleotides long. RefSeq lists it as uncharacterized. Lineage: Eukaryota; Metazoa; Chordata; Aves; Passeriformes; Muscicapidae. The record is from RefSeq and is a predicted model, not a curated record. The transcript is spliced from 3 exons.
UCAGCCUGGGUGUCACUGGGAUCCUACCGGGAUUCCCUUGGGAUCAUGUUGGGAUCGUUCCAGGGAUCGCCGGGAAUCAGCCUGGGUGUCACCCACCGGGAUCCGGGAAGGGGUCAGCGGGGCACAGCAGGAUCAGCCGAGGGAUUGCCGGGAUCUCCUCCAGGUCAUUUCCCAUCUUCCCACUCCCUGGGAGAGCUCCUCCAUGGAAUGGUGCCAGAGCACUUCAGGAGACCCAGCUGCUUCUGGGAUGCCUGUUCACAUGGAAUCCUCCAAACCACAUUUACAGCUUCCAAUAUUGACAUUUCUGGGAUUUCCCCAGAUUGGGGAGCAUGGUGUGAGCAGGAGAGACCCACAGGGAUGAGGUGGGAAGCAGAGGAGGGAUGGAUAUAGGGAAGAAAAGCUUAGUUCCAGUCAUGUAGAAGCAUUUUCUUGGGAAAUCCAGCCUGGCCUGGAUUCCCAGCAGCUUUUUGAUCCUCUGGAAUUGGAUCAUUACAAGGAAAUGGCAAUUUCUGAGAUGUUCUCCAAUGCCCUUCUAGGGGGAAGAUGCAGUUAUGGGGACAGAGGGAAGCUCCAACAAAUUCAAGCAAACUGAGCACCAUGGAUUCAUUCACUUUCCCAGUCUUCCAUGUAAAUGGGGGUGGCAUGUGGAAAAUCUGGGAUGCCUGAAUUGGGGAUGCUCCUACCAUGGCUGGUGCUGGUUUUGGCAGUGGGAUGUUCCUGACAGCUGUGGGGUAUGGGGUGUUGACUUUGGGGUUUCCAGCUUUCUCCUUCCAGCUUCCCAAACAGUUUUGAGGGAGCUGGAGGGGCUCGUCCUGGAGAAGAGGAGGCUCAGGGGGCACCUUCUGGCUCCCUGCAAUUCCCUGGAAGAAGGUUGGAGCCAGGAGGGGUCUGGCUCUGCUCCCAGGCAGAUCCAACAGGCCAAGCCAUGACUUGUUGCUCCAAUGGGAACAGGCCUAGGAGUGCUGCAGCUCAAGCACCAGGAAAGAGGGAAUCAGGAGCAGCCUGGGUU